Long non-coding RNA from Sinocyclocheilus grahami, 195 nucleotides. RefSeq lists it as uncharacterized. The record is from RefSeq and is a predicted model, not a curated record. The transcript is spliced from 3 exons. Lineage: Eukaryota; Metazoa; Chordata; Actinopteri; Cypriniformes; Cyprinidae.
CUUGUAUCCCACAGAGGGACCAAGGCAUAUGCCUAUGAGGAAAAAGCCACAAAAGAGGCAAAGCAGAAAUAUUGGUUGACUGGGAGCCCUGUCCAAUAUGUGGCAAGGAGUGGGCCCAUUCCUGGCAGCCAAAUGAUUCUCUUCAAAUUAAUGAGAAGAAAUAAAAUGUAGAAUCUGAACUACAUUUUGGUUUCU